Molecule: ribosomal RNA, 459 nt
Filed under: Rhizobacter profundi
Lineage: Bacteria; Pseudomonadati; Pseudomonadota; Betaproteobacteria; Burkholderiales; Sphaerotilaceae
Description: bacterial SSU rRNA
Source: RNAcentral
UUCCUAGGGGSAGCAGKGGGGAUAYAAUGGGCGCAAGCCUGAAUCCAGCCAUGCCGCGUGCGGGAAGAAGGCCUUCGGGUUGUAAACCGCUUUUGUCAGGGAAGAAACGGCUUGAUCUAAUAAAUCGAGCUAAUGACGGUACCUGAAGAAUAAGCACCGGCUAACUACGUGCCAGCAGCCGCGGUAAUACGUAGGGUGCAAGCGUUAAUCGGAAUUACUGGGCGUAAAGCGUGCGCAGGCGGCUAUGCAAGACAGAUGUGAAAUCCCCGGGCUCAACCUGGGAACUGCAUUUGUGACUGCAUGGCUAGAGUACGGCAGAGGGGGAUGGAAUUCCGCGUGUAGCAGUGAAAUGCGUAGAUAUGCGGAGGAACACCGAUGGCGAAGGCAAUCCCCUGGGCCUGUACUGACGCCUUCAUGCACGAAAGCGUGGAGCAAACAGGAUUAGAUACCCUCUAGUCA